GACGAACGCUGGCGGCGUGCUUAACACAUGCAAGUCGAACGGGAUCCACUGGGCUUUUGUUUGGUGGUGAGAGUGGCGAACGGGUGAGUAAUGCGUGACUAACCUGCCGUAUGGUUGGGGAUAGCUCCUGGAAACGGGUGGUAAUACCCAAUGCUCCAGCUGGAUGCAUGUCUGGUUGGGAAAGCUUUUGUGCCAUAUGAUGGGGUCGCGUCCUAUCAGCUUGUUGGUGGGGUGAUGGCCUACCAAGGCGUCGACGGGUAGCCGGCCUAAGAGGGCGACCGGCCACAUUGGGACUGAGAUACGGCCCAGACUCCUACGGGAGGCAGCAGUGGGGAAUAUUGCACAAUGGGCGCAAGCCUGAUGCAGCGACGCCGCGUGCGGGAUGGAGGCCUUCGGGUUGUAAACCGCUUUUAUAGGGGGGCAAGCUAUGCCUGUGUGGUGUGGUGAGUGGACUUUAUGAAUAAGCACG
Molecule: ribosomal RNA, 469 nt
Filed under: Scardovia sp. oral taxon 195
Lineage: Bacteria; Bacillati; Actinomycetota; Actinomycetes; Bifidobacteriales; Bifidobacteriaceae
Description: bacterial SSU rRNA
Rfam family: Bacterial small subunit ribosomal RNA
Source: RNAcentral